Molecule: ribosomal RNA, 253 nt
Filed under: uncultured bacterium
Lineage: Bacteria
Description: partial 16S ribosomal RNA
Rfam family: Bacterial small subunit ribosomal RNA
Source: RNAcentral
UACGGAGGGGGCAAGCGUUGUUCGGAGUCACUGGGCGUAAAGGGCGCGUAGGCGGUGCACCAAGUCAGGCGUGAAAGCCCCGGGCUUAACCUGGGAAUUGCGCUUGAUACUGGUGCGCUAGAGAGCGGGAGAGGAUGGCGGAAUUCCCAGUGUAGAGGUGAAAUUCGUAGAUAUUGGGAAGAACACCGGUGGCGAAGGCGGCCAUCUGGACCGUUUCUGACGCUGAGGCGCGAAAGCGUGGGGAGCAAACAGG